This 450-nucleotide long non-coding RNA is filed under the name Gossypium raimondii (Peruvian cotton). Its description in RNAcentral is "long non-coding RNA (GRAI_LNC011104)". Lineage: Eukaryota; Viridiplantae; Streptophyta; Magnoliopsida; Malvales; Malvaceae. The record is from RNAcentral.
UGCCUUUGUCCCUCUUAUUGCCUUUUUCCCUCCCUUACCAUACGUUGGUCGACCAUGCACCUAGACACACUUCUAUUUUUAUUUUUUUCUCAUCUUUUCUCUCCUCAUCUCCCUUUAGUCGCUCCUCCUCCUUAAUCCUCCCUUUUUUUCUAUUUUUGUUUAUUUUCACCACCCCUUCUCAUUUCUCCUCCAUUCCACCCACUCUAAACGCCACCAAACCACUACCAAACAACCACUAAACCACAACCUCACCACCGCCAUUGGGCCGCCAUACUGUCGCCAUCGACCACACCUAAAUUUUCUGAUUCUUCUUCCUUUCCCCUUCUCUUCUCGUAAUUGAUUUCUCUAAUCCCUAAAUUCUAAUUUUUUUUCAUAAAAAUAAGUAUAUCACAUCCUAUUUCUAAUUUAUUUUUUAUAUUAUGUUAUUUUCUGUGUAGUUGUGAAUCUUCC